This 18-nucleotide unclassified non-coding RNA is filed under the name Chlamydomonas reinhardtii. RNAcentral's name for it is "small RNA Cre_0621". Lineage: Eukaryota; Viridiplantae; Chlorophyta; Chlorophyceae; Chlamydomonadales; Chlamydomonadaceae. The record is from RNAcentral.
AGUCAAAUGUGGGCUGGA